RNAcentral lists this ribosomal RNA (695 nucleotides) under Pleroma urvilleanum (princess flower). Its description in RNAcentral is "eukaryotic LSU rRNA". The stretch from base 278 to 433 matches the Rfam family "5.8S ribosomal RNA". The record is from RNAcentral. Lineage: Eukaryota; Viridiplantae; Streptophyta; Magnoliopsida; Myrtales; Melastomataceae.
CGAGGUGAACCUGCGGAAGGAUCAUUGUCGAAAUCGAACGAAAGAACGACCCGCGAACCGUCUUUGCGUAACGAACCGAGCUCGCGAGCAGCAAAUGCUCGUGCGUCUCGCGUCGCGUCGGCGCGGUCCUCGAAAGGGCCACGCCGCACCGACAAACUAACAAUGUCAGCACGGAUCGUGCCAAGGAGCUGUACAGGCGAGAGUCGUCGUCCCACGCCCCCGGUCCCCCUCGACUGGGGGCGGGUGACAUGCGCGACCUCUUCUYUUUAGUCUUAAUGACUYUSGGCAACGGAUAUYUCGGCUCUUGCAUCGAURAAGAACGUAGCGAAAUGCGAUACUUGGAGAGAAUUGCAGAAUCCCGCGAACCAUCAAUUCUUUGAACGCAAGUUGCGCCCGAAGCCAUCCGGCCGAGGGCACGCCUGCCUGGGUGUCGUGAAUCCCCUUGUCCCCGGGCACCCGCACGAGCAUCGUCGCGGGUAUGCCCGGGCGCAGAAUAUGGUCUCCCGUCGGAUCGGCGUGCGUCGCACGUCGUGGGGCGGUUGGCCGAAAAUCGAGCAUUGCGACGUCGGGCUCCACGGCGUUCGGUGGAUCGAACGCGAUUGGNUGCGCCGUGGUCCCGUCAUGCCGCGGUCUCCGGACUACGACGAUUCCCGUGUGCGAUCCCAGGUCAGGCGGGGCUACCCGCUGAGUUUAAG